UAUUAUAUAGUAAAGCCCAAGAAAUGGCGCUAGUCGUCUAUUCCAACUAUAUCAUAUUUUGUAUUAUUAUUGUCAGACCAUGCAUAACUUAUUGCUCAAGUAACCGCCUCGUAGCCUUAAGAAGGAUUUGGUAGGGUUUUUUUUUUUUUUAAUUUGAUUAGGUAGAGUUUUUUUAAAAUGGUAUAGACGUAUAGGUAGUAUACUAGUAUUGAUGGUGCGCACACGUAAUAUAUAACUCCAUAUUAAAGUAACAGAACAAAAUUAAACUAUUAGUAUAGGAAUAGAAUCUUAAACCCAGAGGUCGACGAAUCAAAAGAGUCGUGAGGAUCACCCACUCGAAUCUCUUUUGUCAAGAUUUGAAGUUCCA
This 367-nucleotide long non-coding RNA is filed under the name Capsella rubella. RNAcentral's name for it is "long non-coding RNA (CRUB_LNC002733)". The record is from RNAcentral. Lineage: Eukaryota; Viridiplantae; Streptophyta; Magnoliopsida; Brassicales; Brassicaceae.